AAAGAUGCCUUGACCAACUUUAUGAUAAAUGGGUCAAUUUUGAAGUGAUUGAUCAACAAGUAUUUAUUUAUUGUAGAUAGUAUCUAUUGGGCCAUAUAUUUUGUGUGUCGCGACAGCAAAAAUAAGAAUUUCCCAAUUUAAUGAUUAACGCCGUCAACGUUCACAUUUAUAGCCGUUGAUCGUCCGUCAAUUUCGACAUGCUUAUUGCUACUAGCUGGUUAGUAUCAUCAACUCGUUGCCGUUUUCUUCAAAAAAAAAAAAAAAAAACUCGUUGCCGUUAACGUCGGUGGCUGCAAAAUUCAAAAACAC
RNAcentral lists this long non-coding RNA (309 nucleotides) under Salvia miltiorrhiza (redroot sage). Its description in RNAcentral is "long non-coding RNA (SMIL_LNC012995)". The record is from RNAcentral. Lineage: Eukaryota; Viridiplantae; Streptophyta; Magnoliopsida; Lamiales; Lamiaceae.